This 547-nucleotide long non-coding RNA is filed under the name Pan paniscus (pygmy chimpanzee). Its description in RNAcentral is "lncRNA (ENSPPAG00000044583.1)". Lineage: Eukaryota; Metazoa; Chordata; Mammalia; Primates; Hominidae. The record is from RNAcentral.
ACAGAGGGAGCCGGCUCCGGUCUCGGCCAGCCCAGAGAGGGCCUCCCAUAGUGCAGCGGGGGGCUGAAGGUCUCCUCAAGCGCUGCCAGAGUGGGCGUCGAGGCUGAGGAGACACCGAGAGCGAGUGAGGGCUGCCAGCAUGCUGUCACCUCUCAGUAAUUUGAGAAAAUUUCUGUUUUCUAUGGGGCGAAGAUGCUUUGAUGCUGGUACAAAAAAAAAUUGCCAAGAUGUGAAGAUGCUGGUGCAGAAGAGAAGGCCAGCAGGACCAGGACAGGAAGAAAGCAUGAGAGAGGGUGCUGGGACUCCACCCACAUCAGGUUUUCUACUCCAGACUGGCUGUAACUCCCACUUCUGCACACUUGGGUUCCCAACAUCCUCCUUAAAUGUUGGGAGGUGUCCACAUAUGAUCUUAUGUUGUUAGGGGCUAAAUGGUUUGUUUUCUACAAAUUCCAGUGUUGAAGCUCUAACCCUCACCACCUCAGAAUGUGACUGUAUUUGGAGAUAGUCUUUAAAGAGGUGAUUAAGUUAAAAUGAGACCAUUAGGGUG